This 665-nucleotide ribosomal RNA is filed under the name uncultured Pasteurellales bacterium. RNAcentral's name for it is "bacterial SSU rRNA". It matches the Rfam family "Bacterial small subunit ribosomal RNA", at positions 66 to 720 of the family's 1533-position model. Lineage: Bacteria; Pseudomonadati; Pseudomonadota; Gammaproteobacteria; Pasteurellales. The record is from RNAcentral.
ACGGUAACAGGGAUUAGCUUGCUAAUUUGCUGACGAGUGGCGGACGGGUGAGUAAUGCUUGGGAAUCUAGCUUAUGGAGGGGGAUAACUACGGGAAACUGUAGCUAAUACCGCGUAAAAUCUUCGGAUUAAAGGGUGGGACUUUCGGGCCACCUGCCAUAAGAUGAGCCCAAGUGGGAUUAGGUAGUUGGUUAGGUAAAGGCUGACCAAGCCGACGAUCUCUAGCUGGUCUGAGAGGAUGACCAGCCACACUGGAACUGAGACACGGUCCAGACUCCUACGGGAGGCAGCAGUGGGGAAUAUUGCACAAUGGGGGGAACCCUGAUGCAGCCAUGCCGCGUGAAUGAAGAAGGCCUUCGGGUUGUAAAGUUCUUUCGGUGACGAGGAAGGUUGAUAGGUUAAUAGCCUAUCAAAUUGACGUUAAUCACAGAAGAAGCACCGGCUAACUCCGUGCCAGCAGCCGCGGUAAUACGGGGGGUGCGAGCGUUAAUCGGAAUAACUGGGCGUAAAGGGCACGCAGGCGGUGACUUAAGUGAGAUGUGAAAGCCCCGGGCUUAACCUGGGAAUUGCAUUUCAUACUGGGUCGCUAGAGUACUUUAGGGAGGGGUAGAAUUCCACGUGUAGCGGUGAAAUGCGUAGAGAUGUGGAGGAAUACCGAAGGCGAAG